Non-coding RNA from Caenorhabditis elegans, 150 nucleotides. The record is from Ensembl. NCBI's taxonomy places the organism in Eukaryota, Metazoa, Nematoda, Chromadorea, Rhabditida, Rhabditidae.
CGGCGAAAAACAGAAUAGUGAUACGACGAGGCUCCGACGUCUCACUACCCAUGUCUUUCAUCGUUCAGAGCAGACAACCUCUGUGUGUGAGCUAGUUUCAACACUGAGGUUUUGUUGGAAAGUACAGCGAAUACGGUAGAUGAAUAUGAC